Molecule: long non-coding RNA, 499 nt
Organism: Pomacea canaliculata
Lineage: Eukaryota; Metazoa; Mollusca; Gastropoda; Architaenioglossa; Ampullariidae
Exons: 4
Source: RefSeq, a predicted model, not a curated record
ACAAGAGUAACUGCAAGACCAACAACUAAAACAACUAGACCAACAACACACAAAGCAGCAAGAACAAGAGGAACUACAAGACCAACAACUAAAACAACAAGGCGAGGAGUAAAUGCAAGAAUUACAACACCGAAGGUAAAAACACCAGCUCAGACAGCAGCGCCGCUCUUGUCAGAAAGAAGUACAGAAGAGGUGGAGAGCUAAGGGCCGUUGUCGGGGUAACAGUAGGUGUCCUCGGCCUCGUCAUUAUCGCAGCUCUCAUCUACUUUCUGCGCAAACGCAGAAUCAGAAGAUCUCGCAAGUUCCUACUGGACGAUGACAAUGAACAGAAUCAAUCCCUCGGGAUUGUGAAUGUUGGCUACGGGCUCACCGCUCUUCAUGAUUGGAAACAGACUAUUUUUAAACAGGUAUUAUAUUACUUUAUUUCUAUUUAAGUUCUACAGACUGCGAGCUACAUCUUACAAAUCACAGAGUAUCAGUGUUUCAUUUGAUUUUAACG